UGUGCGUGUGUGUGUGUGUCUAUGUGUGUGUGUAUAUGUGUGUGUCUAUGUGUCCAUGUGUACAGGAAGAUAUCCAGAGAGAGCGGGAAGCAGGGAUCAUUGUGGACACUAAGAAUGAUGAGAGCACGCGUAGCACUGUGGGACUGACGGGCGGCGGCAUGGGCGGCGGUGGCGGUGGUGUCACCCUGCCACAGCUCACCAGUGACAGUUUGACGGAACUGGCCGCGGCUCACACCAGGAAAAAGGAUAAGCCACCUCCACCUCCACAACGGGCACCGACCAAGUUGCCGACUAUUGAAGGUGGUGCUUCGCAAUUCUUCAAGUAGCACGGUAAAUACAACACGCGUGGCCAAGAAUAACAUCCAGGCUUGGCGGUGCACCAGAGACUGGCGCAGCUGGAUUAAUUGUGUUCCCAAAAGCACCUCCUGUUUAGUUCGCAUGGUACGUUUCCCGGGAGGCUUUCUGGAUGUCAGCCCUGGGUAGUGUUUUCACACUUGUUCACCGAGGAUGACGCAUGGUAACGUAUGCCCCUGCCCCCGGGCUACUACCCCCCUGCCCCGGGCUAC
Molecule: long non-coding RNA, 566 nt
Organism: Sycon ciliatum
Lineage: Eukaryota; Metazoa; Porifera; Calcarea; Leucosolenida; Sycettidae
Exons: 3
Source: RefSeq, a predicted model, not a curated record